GCUGCUCAAGGUAGCACGUAUAUGGAAUCCCAGCUACUAGGGAGGUUGAGGCUAAUGGAUCUCUUGAACUUGGAUGUUCUGAGGUGCUGUGGGCUGUCUCAGUUGGGUGUCUGCACUAAGUUUGGCAUUAAUGUGGUGAACCCCUGGAGCAAGGGCACCAGAUUUUGUCAGGAGGAGCAAACUGGCUGAAGUCGGAAAUGUAGGUCAAAGCUCUCAUGGCUGUCAAUGGUGAGAUUGGUCCUGUGAGGGGCACUUGCAUUUCCUGCCUAGAAAAGAUAGGAAUACCUAUUCUUU
Molecule: non-coding RNA, 294 nt
Filed under: Phascolarctos cinereus (koala)
Lineage: Eukaryota; Metazoa; Chordata; Mammalia; Diprotodontia; Phascolarctidae
Source: RNAcentral